Molecule: ribosomal RNA, 427 nt
Filed under: uncultured beta proteobacterium
Lineage: Bacteria; Pseudomonadati; Pseudomonadota; Betaproteobacteria
Description: bacterial SSU rRNA
Rfam family: Bacterial small subunit ribosomal RNA
Source: RNAcentral
UGGGGAAUAUUGGACAAUGGGCGAAAGCCUGAUCCAGCCAUGCCGCGUGAGUGAUGAAGGCCUUAGGGUUGUAAAGCUCUUUUAGUCGGAAAGAAAGAGUUGCAAUGAAUAAUUGUGAUUUAUGACGGUACCGACAGAAAAAGCACCGGCUAACUACGUGCCAGCAGCCGCGGUAAUACGUAGGGUGCGAGCGUUAAUCGGAAUUACUGGGCGUAAAGGGUGCGCAGGCGGUCUUGCAAGUCAGAUGUGAAAGCCCCGGGCUUAACCUUGGAAUUGCGUUUGAAACUACAAGGCUAGAGUGCAGCAGAGGGGAGUGGAAUUCCAUGUGUAGCAGUGAAAUGCGUAGAGAUGUGGAAGAACACCGAUGGCGAAGGCAGCUCCCUGGGUUGACACUGACGCUCAUGCACGAAAGCGUGGGGAGCAAACA